AAAGCGGAAGCCGGGAAUGGAAAGCCCGGUGCAAGCGGGGUACCAGUCACUCUGGCAAAUCCGGGUGGCAAUGGGAAGCCGUGAUGCGGAGUGGAAUAAAGUAACGAAGUCCGUGAGCCAUGCGUCAAGAAAAGCCGCUAUUGUUUAUACCGUACCCGUACCGUAAACCGACACAGGUGGAUGAGGAGAGAAUCCUAAGGCCGGCGGAAGAAGCAUUGUCAAGGAACUCGGCAAAAUGGCCCCGUAACUUAGGGAUAAGGGGUGCCUGGGAAACCAGGCCGCAGAGAAUAGGCUCAAGCGACUGUUUAGCAAAAACACAGGUCUAUGCGAAACCGAAAGGUGAGGUAUAUGGGCUGACGCCUGCCCGGUGCUGGAAGGUUAAGAGGAGAGGUUAGCGCAAGCGAAGCUUUGAAUUUAAGCCCCAGUAAACGGCGGCCGUAACAAUAACGGUCCUAAGGUAGCGAAAUUCCUUGUCGGGUAAGUUCCGACCCGCACGAAAGGCGUAAUGAUUUGAGCGCUGUCUCGACAAUGCAUCCGGUGAAAUUGAAGUACCAGUGAAGAUGCUGGUUACCUGCGCCAGGACGGAAAGACCCCAUGGAGCUUUACUCCAGUUUGGUACUGGGACUCGGUAUUGCAUGUACAGGAUAGGUGGGAGGCUGAGAGACAGUAACGCCAGUUAUUGUGGAGCCGCUGUUGGGAUACCACCCUUGCAGUAUUGGGUUUCUAACCAGCCGCCGUGACCCGGCGGUGGGACAAUGCCAGACGGGGAGUUUGACUGGGGCGGUCGCCUCCGAAAGGGUAUCGGAGGCGCCCAAAGGUUCCCUCAGAAUGGACGGAAACCAUUCGAAGAGUGCAAAGGCAGAAGGGAGCUUGACUGCGACACCGACGGGUGGAGCAGGUACGAAAGUAGGGCUUAGUGAUCCGGUGGUAUUAAGUGGGAGUGCCAUCGCUCAACGGAUAAAAGCUACCCUGGGAUAACAUGCUUAUCACUCCCAAGAGUUCACAUCGACGGAGUGGUUUGGCACCUCGAUGUCGGCUCAUCGCAUCCUGGGGCUGUAGUAGGUCCCAAGGGUUGGGCUGUUCGCCCAUUAAAGCGGUACGCGAGCUGGGUUCAGAACGUCGUGAGACAGUUCGGUCCCUAUCCGGCGUGGGCGUAGGAUAUCUGAGAGGAGCUGUCCUUAGUACGAGAGGACCGGGAUGGACGGGCCGCUGGUGCAUCGGUUAGACUGCCAAGUCUACGGCCGAGUAGCCAAGCCCGGAAGGGAUAAACGCUGAAGGCAUCUAAGCGUGAAGCCCCCCUUAAGAUGAGAUAUCCCAUUCGAAAGAAGUAAACCCCCUUGAAGACGACGAGGUAGAUAGGGCAGAGGUGGAAGUGUGGCAACACAUGGAGCUGACUGUUACUAAUCGGGUGAGGGCUUGACCA
Molecule: ribosomal RNA, 1423 nt
Filed under: metagenome
Description: bacterial LSU rRNA
Rfam family: Bacterial large subunit ribosomal RNA
Source: RNAcentral